Molecule: ribosomal RNA, 497 nt
Filed under: uncultured bacterium
Lineage: Bacteria
Description: partial 16S ribosomal RNA
Rfam family: Bacterial small subunit ribosomal RNA
Source: RNAcentral
GACGAACGCUGGCGGCGUGCCUAAUACAUGCAAGUAGAACGCUGAAGAGAGGAGCUUGCUCUUCUUGGAUGAGUUGCGAACGGGUGAGUAACGCGUAGGUAACCUGCCUUGUAGCGGGGGAUAACUAUUGGAAACGAUAGCUAAUACCGCAUAACAAUGGAUGACACAUGUCAUUUAUUUGAAAGGGGCAAUUGCUCCACUACAAGAUGGACCUGCGUUGUAUUAGCUAGUAGGUGAGGUAAUGGCUCACCUAGGCGACGAUACAUAGCCGACCUGAGAGGGUGAUCGGCCACACUGGGACUGAGACACGGCCCAGACUCCUACGGGAGGCAGCAGUAGGGAAUCUUCGGCAAUGGGGGCAACCCUGACCGAGCAACGCCGCGUGAGUGAAGAAGGUUGUCGGAUCGUAAAGCUCUGUUGUAAGUCAAGAACGGGUGUGAGAGUGGAAAGUUCACACUGUGACGGUAGCUUAACAGAAAGGGACGGCUAACUACGUG